RNAcentral lists this ribosomal RNA (63 nucleotides) under Phaeoacremonium pseudopanacis. RNAcentral's name for it is "partial 28S ribosomal RNA". It matches the Rfam family "Eukaryotic large subunit ribosomal RNA", at positions 1 to 61 of the family's 3401-position model. Lineage: Eukaryota; Fungi; Ascomycota; Sordariomycetes; Togniniales; Togniniaceae. The record is from RNAcentral.
GUUGACCUCGGAUCAGGUAGGAAUACCCGCUGAACUUAAGCAUAUCAAUAAGCGGAGGAACUG